Molecule: ribosomal RNA, 1469 nt
Filed under: metagenome
Description: bacterial SSU rRNA
Rfam family: Bacterial small subunit ribosomal RNA
Source: RNAcentral
AGAGUUUGAUCCUGGCUCAGGACGAACGCUGGCGGCACGCUUAACACAGGCAAGUCGAACGAGAGAAGAGGAGCUUGCUUUUCUGAUCUAGUGGCGGACGGGUGAGUAACACGUGAGCAAUCUGCCUUUCAGAGGGGGAUACCGAUUGGAAACGAUCGUUAAUACCGCAUAACAUAAUUGAACCGCAUGAUUUGAUUAUCAAAGAUUUAUCGCUGAAAGAUGAGCUCGCGUCUGAUUAGCUAGUUAGUAAGGUAACGGCUUACCAAGGCGACGAUCAGUAGCCGGACUGAGAGGUUGAUCGGCCACAUUGGGACUGAGACACGGCCCAGACUCCUACGGGAGGCAGCAGUGGGGAAUAUUGCACAAUGGAGGAAACUCUGAUGCAGCGAUGCCGCGUGAGGGAAGAAGGUUUUAGGAUUGUAAACCUCUGUCUUCAGGGACGAAAAAAGACGGUACCUGAGGAGGAAGCUCCGGCUAACUACGUGCCAGCAGCCGCGGUAAUACGUAGGGAGCGAGCGUUGUCCGGAAUUACUGGGUGUAAAGGGAGCGUAGGCGGGAUCGCAAGUCAGAUGUGAAAACUAUGGGCUUAACCCAUAAACUGCAUUUGAAACUGUGGUUCUUGAGUGAAGUAGAGGUAAGCGGAAUUCCUAGUGUAGCGGUGAAAUGCGUAGAUAUUAGGAGGAACAUCAGUGGCGAAGGCGGCUUACAGGGCUUUAACUGACGCUGAGGCUCGAAAGCGUGGGGAGCAAACAGGAUUAGAUACCCUGGUAGUCCACGCCGUAAACGAUGAUUACUAGGUGUGGGGGGACUGACCCCUUCCGUGCCCAGCAAACGCAAUAAGUAAUCCACCUGGGGAGUACGACCGCAAGGUUGAAACUCAAAGGAAUUGACGGGGGCCCGCACAAGCAGUGGAGUAUGUGGAUUAAUUCGAAGCAACGCGAAGAACCUUACCAGGUCUUGACAUCGUAUGCAUAGCUCAGAGAUGAGUGAAAUCUCUUCGGAGACAUAUAGACAGGUGGUGCAUGGUUGUCGUCAGCUCGUGUCGUGAGAUGUUGGGUUAAGUCCCGCAACGAGCGCAACCCUUACUGUUAGUUGCUACGCAAGAGCACUCUAGCAGGACUGCCGUUGACAAAACGGAGGAAGGUGGGGAUGACGUCAAAUCAUCAUGCCCCUUAUGACCUGGGCCUCACACGUACUACAAUGGCUGUCAACAGAGGGAAGCAAAGCCGCGAGGUGGAGCGAACCCCUAAAAGCAGUCUUAGUUCGGAUUGUAGGCUGCAACCCGCCUACAUGAAGUCGGAAUUGCUAGUAAUCGCAGAUCAGCAUGCUGCGGUGAAUACGUUCCCGGGCCUUGUACACACCGCCCGUCACGCCAUGGGAGUCGGUAACACCCGAAGCCUGUAGUCUAACCGCAAGGAGGACGCAGUCGAAGGUGGGAUUGAUGACUGGGGUGAAGUCGUAACAAGGUA